RNAcentral lists this ribosomal RNA (253 nucleotides) under uncultured bacterium. RNAcentral describes it as "partial 16S ribosomal RNA". It matches the Rfam family "Bacterial small subunit ribosomal RNA", at positions 524 to 776 of the family's 1533-position model. The record is from RNAcentral.
UACGUAGGGUGCGAGCGUUAAUCGGAAUUACUGGGCGUAAAGCGUGCGCAGGCGGUUCGUUAAGUCAGAUGUGAAAGCCCCGGGCUCAACCUGGGAACUGCAUUUGAAACUGGCGGGCUUGAGUAUGGCAGAGGGGGGUGGAAUUCCGCGUGUAGCAGUGAAAUGCGUAGAGAUGCGGAGGAACACCAAUGGCGAAGGCAGCUCGCUGGAACGGUACUGACGCUGAGGCGCGAAAGCGUGGGGAGCGAACAGG